Molecule: non-coding RNA, 24 nt
Filed under: Arabidopsis thaliana (thale cress)
Lineage: Eukaryota; Viridiplantae; Streptophyta; Magnoliopsida; Brassicales; Brassicaceae
Source: RNAcentral
GGGUGGCCACACGUUUAUUAUGGC